This is a long non-coding RNA of Drosophila novamexicana, 852 nucleotides long. RefSeq lists it as uncharacterized. NCBI's taxonomy places the organism in Eukaryota, Metazoa, Arthropoda, Insecta, Diptera, Drosophilidae. The transcript has 3 exons. The record is from RefSeq and is a predicted model, not a curated record.
CGCGCGCGUUUUGCAAGCAAUUAAACUAAAAGCUAAAUUCUAACUAAGUUUUGUAGUUGUGCAAAAUAAAAGUUUUCUCAGCUUUGCCGCUAACAACAACGCCGACGCCGACGCCACCGUCGCCGUCGCCGUCGCAGGUCGUCGUCGCCGUCAAAAAAAGUGCUCAAACAAGAUUUCCACUUGAAAUUCCUGAAUUUCGUUCGCGACGCGCAGCACACAAAAAGAAAAAUAAAAUUAAAUAAAAGAAGAAGCAAAAUAUAAAUCGAAAUAUAAAAGCGCAAUACAAAUAUAUACAAAAAGUUUCAGCAAGUGCAGACGGCAUUUUGAAUGUGUUUAUAACGGUGUCUGCAGCUAUUUAUAUGUGUGCAUGUGUGUGUUUUAAUUUUGUGCAGUUUGGCAACACAUUUGGAUUAGCGGCACUUUUUAUUUACCUAGACUGUGCGCGACUAAACGAUACUUCUAUUAUCGCAACAGCUACCGAUAGUUUUUGAUAAACAAGUUAUGCGCGCAGCAGGUCACAGCCGAACGGAGCUCACGAUGAUGAAGUUGCUGGCGAGGCGUCUCUGAACUGCUGACAGCCAAGUGCCAGUGCGUAUCUCAAAGAUACAAAGAACAACAACAACCAGAAGAAGUCUUAGCGCAUUUCCGGCUGGACGCACCUACCUAACACGAAGUGGACGGCUGGCUACCUACGCACUCGCUGCUCGUCACUCGUCACUCGUCACUUUGCCACACGCUACUCGUCACUCAUCACUCGCUGCUAGACUGAGGCGCUGCCCCUGCAACUGGCCAGCUGCUAUCAGUUCUGCCGUGAAGCGCGGUCGCGACGGGCUGCAAAAAAAAAGGUAAAUA